CAAGCUCUGCCUGACCAGAGGG
Molecule: microRNA, 22 nt
Filed under: Cavia porcellus (domestic guinea pig)
Lineage: Eukaryota; Metazoa; Chordata; Mammalia; Rodentia; Caviidae
Description: cpo-miR-12076-3p
Source: miRBase by way of RNAcentral